GCCAGACUCCUACGGGAGGCAGCAGUGGGGAAUAUUGCACAAUGGGGGAAACCCUGAUGCAGCAACGCCGCGUGAAGGAAGAAGGCUUUCGGGUUGUAAACUUCUUUUCUGAGGGACGAAGAAAGUGACGGUACCUCAGGAAUAAGCCCCGGCUAACUACGUGCCAGCAGCCGCGGUAAUACGUAGGGGGCACGCGUUAUCCGGAUUUACUGGGUGUAAAGGGGGCGCAGACGGCGAUGCAAGCCAGGAGUGAAAGCCCGGGGCCCAACCCCGGGACUGCUCUUGGAACUGCGCGGCUGGAGUGCAGGAGGGGCAGGCGGAAUUCCUGGUGUAGCGGUGAAAUGCGUAGAUAUCAGGAGGAACACCGGUGGCGAAGGCGGCCUGCUGGACUGCGACUGACGUUGAGGCCCGAAAGCGUGGGGAGCAAACAGGAUUAGAUACCCCUGUA
Molecule: ribosomal RNA, 448 nt
Filed under: uncultured bacterium
Lineage: Bacteria
Description: partial 16S ribosomal RNA
Rfam family: Bacterial small subunit ribosomal RNA
Source: RNAcentral